This 309-nucleotide ribosomal RNA is filed under the name uncultured crenarchaeote. Its description in RNAcentral is "bacterial SSU rRNA". It matches the Rfam family "Archaeal small subunit ribosomal RNA", at positions 514 to 823 of the family's 1478-position model. Lineage: Archaea; Thermoproteati; Thermoproteota. The record is from RNAcentral.
AGCGUCCGUAGCCGGCUUAGCAAGUCUCCUGUUAAAUUCAGCGACCUAAUCGUUGAGCCGCGGGAGAUACUACUAGGCUAGGAGGCGGGAGAGGUCGACGGUACUNCUGGGGUAGGGGUGAAAUCCUAUAAUCCCGGGAGGACCACCAGUGGCGAAGGCUGUCGACUAGAACGCGCUCGACGGUGAGGGACGAAAGCUGGGGGAGCGAACCGGAUUAGAUACCCGGGUAGUCCCAGCCGUAAACGAUGCGGGCUAGGUGUUGGGGUGGCUACGUGCCACUUCAGUGCCGCAGGGAAGCCGUUAAGCCCG